This 539-nucleotide ribosomal RNA is filed under the name humic substances enrichment clone D25. RNAcentral's name for it is "partial 16S ribosomal RNA". It matches the Rfam family "Bacterial small subunit ribosomal RNA", at positions 380 to 911 of the family's 1533-position model. Lineage: Bacteria; Deltaproteobacteria. The record is from RNAcentral.
ACCCUGACGCAGCAAUGCCGCGUGAGUGAGGAAGGCCUUCGGGUUGUAAAGCGCUGUCAGAUAGGAANAACGGNCAUUGGUCCAAUANGCCUUUGAUUNGACGGUNCUAUCAAAGGAAGCACCGGUUAACUUCGNGCCAGCAGCCGCGGUANUACGAAGGGUGCANGCGUUGUUCGGAUUUACUGGGCGUAAAGCGCGCGCAGGCGGAUUGGUAAGUCANAUGUGAAAUCUCGGGGNUCAACCCCGAAACUGCUUCUGAAACUAUCAAUCUAGAGUCUCGGANAGGGAAGGGGAAUUUCCAUGUAGGGGUAAAAUCCGUANAGAUGCGAAGGAACACCANAGGCGAAGGCGCCUUCCUGGACNAGUNCUGACNCUGAGGCNCNAAAGCGUGGGGAGCAAACAGGAUUAGAUNCCCUGGUAGUCCACGCCGUAAACGAUGAGCACUAGAUAUAGGGAUGUUGACCGUCUCUGUGUCGCANNUAACGCAUUAAGUGCUCCGCCUGGGGAGUACGGUCGCAAGACUAAAACUCAAAGGAUGC